CUCCCGGGCCUCCGGAUCCUGGCUGGGAGCCAUCUCUGCCUCCUGCCGCUUCCUGCACUCCUGAUCAGAUCUUUAAGAAAUCUGCAAACUGCUUUCCACAGGGGCUGCAUUAAUUUGCAUUCUCACCAAAGUGUGUUAGCCCCUGCAGAAACUGGAUAAACCCUGGAGAAUGACUGUAGUCUACACCAGGAUUAAACAAAUAGUAACCCUGAUUGCAGGUGCUGUACUAGACAUAGUAUCUUUGGUAGAACCAAUUAGUGAGGCUUUCGGUACAACCAUUGACAUGGGAGAUGCAUUCUUUUCCAUUCCAAUCAAGAAAGAGGAUCAGAAAUGGUUUGUAUUUAGGUAGGAUAGAAAACAAUAUUAAACUGAAGUUUUGCCUCAGGGCUAAAUGAACUCUACUGCCUUCUGUCCUAAAAUAGCUUGAGGAUAUGUGGACCACCUGAAUGUCCCACAGAACAUCAUGACACCUUGGUGAUGGGGCAGAACCAACAAUAGAUGGCUAUCUCACUAGAGGUCUUGGUAAGAUACAUGCACUAGAGAGGAUGGGAAAUAAACCCUAUAAAGAUUGAGAGAUAUACAUGUCAAUAAAGUCCUUACGGAUCCAAUGCUCAGGGUCAUUCCUGAAUAUCUCCUCUAAAUUCAAAUAAAACCACUGCAUCUUGCAUUCCCUACCACAAAGAAGGAAGCACAGUGCAUGGUGUGCCUCAUUUGCUUCUGAUGGCAACACAUUUCAUACCUAGGAAUGCUGCUUCAGCCCCUAUACUGGAUGACACAAAAGGGUGCUAACUUUGAGUGGAGCCUAAACUAGGAAAGAGCUCUGCAACAGGUCCGAACUGGAGUGCAAGCACACCUGCCACUGGAGCCGUGUUAUCUCACGGACCUCAUGAGGUUGUAGGUGUCAGCAGUGGGACAAGAUGCAUCAUAGGGUGGAAAUUGUAUAUCUAAGAUCAAACCUAGGCAGGACUGGAGGAUACGCAUGAGUAAUCCACAUAAGCUGGUAGCCCAGACCCCCAUGUCACCCACCGCGGCUAUACCAGCGCUCCUGCCUCAGCUCAUAUUUAUGGCCAUAUUGGAGUGCUGACACACUGAUCUGGGGUUACUCACUCACAUCAGGCACUGGAUGAGUACAGUGUCCUGGGCUAAAGUUGAUCUAUCCCAGACCCUCACCUUCAGCAGCAUCAGUGGCCCUCACAGCAGCUCUCCCUCCUCUGUAUUCCUACUUAGUGGCAGCUGUGGCCUGCAGCACCCAGAAACAGUGAGGUAGAGGGAAUGGCAAGCAUCCAUUACCCUGUGCUCCAUCAAUGGCACUGUCACCCCCUCUGUAGGCUCUGUGCCAUGUGUCAGGUAGUACCCAGGGCUUGUGAGACAUCACUCCAAGUUUCCAACCAGGUAUGCUCUUGAUUCCAGUGGAUGUGAUGACGUUGUGCUCUCUCAGGGCUUAGGCUAUGCCAGAGGAGGGAUGAACAUUCCUUGCUGAAUGAGAUCCCUCUAGCUGUUCCACCCAGGGCCUCUGGCCUGUCCUUUCCUUUGGUGAUGGAGUGUAGAAGGCAGGCGUGGAGUUAACACAGAAAGAUUUAACUUUCUGUGUUAGGCAGGCAUGGAGUUAACCCUCUGAAAACACAGGAUGCCAGUCUAAAGAGUGAAGAGAAAAUGUGGUUGGAAGAUGUGUUCUUCUACCUUUACAUCAUAAAUUUCAGAACAGUGCAUUUCAUGACCAGAAGAUGAAUUACUGUUCACAUUUUUCUGCAUGCUCUGGAUAAGAUUUGCAAUUGUGAUCAUUGCCAAUGGAAGCACAGUAACAGCUUUCAGAGGGUCAGUGGAAGCCAGUAUGGAAGAUAUACGCUGGACAAGGCAGCCUCUUGAGUGAUGAUGUAACUACCAUUAAACACAUGGUAUCAGGGAACUACAGAGGUAUGAUCUGUGUUGCUUCAAUACAAAAAAGUGAAGAAGAGCCACGGCACUGCCAGUAAUAAUGACGUUCCAUGAGAGAUAUACAAGUAGCCAGAACUUUUGCCACUAAGAAGAAACUUCACACUGAAAGGACAAUAGAUAAAUAUGUAAAUGCAUCUUGUCUACCUAUCACUCUAAAUCAAUUGAUCAGUGUAUACAUCACCAUGCCUCAUGAAUUUUGUCAUAAAUUUUUAAUCAAAUUGUUUAUGCAGAGGAUUCACGAAAAUGAGAGAGAUAAUCUGCCCUGGAUUAAUCAAUGACAUUUACCAAGCUCUAAUAAGAACAAGAAUUGUGCUAGAUACCAUGGAUACAAUAAAGAACAAUGCACAAAUGGACUAAAUGUAACUCACUGUCUAAACUGGUAGCAAUGCAUAUAGACAGACGCAGGGUGUCCUGAGCAGGGACAUAGGAAGGGGUGAUGGAAUGAACACCCAGCGAUGGUUCCGUACUGAUGUUCCCAGUUGAAGUCAUCAAAAAGGUGACCACUCCACAGGAACUCCAUUUGAGGGCCUUGUUCAAUGGGACUUUUCAGCCAUCCUCCCAAUCCAAGUAUUUUCUUCACCUAUUAAACUUGUCUUUGAUUAGCUCUCCAUUGGUCAGAGAUUCUGUGAGAUACCUAUGAAAAGAUGGAAGUGACACUUACAUAUGCCUAUCCCAACAGCCUAGCUGGAAAUCACCAAAAUGAGGCAAGAGAACAGGGUUUUUAGUGAACCUUUUUCCUGUGUGCCUGUUCUAGUUGAAGAAUCUGGGUUUAAUAGACCUAGAAUUCUUUAUAAAAGAAUUCUUGCCAGGCCAGGCGUGGUGGCUUACGCCUGUAAUCCCAGCACUUCAGGAGGCCAAGGCAGGUGUAUCAUGAGGUCAAGAGUUUGAGACUAGCCUGACCAACAUGAUGAAACCCCGUCUCUGCUAAAAAUACAAAAAUUAGCUGGACGUGGAGGCACAUGCUUGUAAUCCCAGCUACUCAGGAGGCUGAGGCAGGAGAAUCAUUUGAACCUGGGAGGCGGAGGUUGCAGUGGGCCGAGAUCGCACCAUUGCACUCCAGCCUGGGCGACAGAGUGAGACUUUGUCUG
This 3023-nucleotide long non-coding RNA is filed under the name Homo sapiens (human). Its description in RNAcentral is "non-protein coding lnc-LY86-4:10". Lineage: Eukaryota; Metazoa; Chordata; Mammalia; Primates; Hominidae. The record is from RNAcentral.